UGCGUAGGUGGCAAUGUAAGUCAGAUGUGAAAUUUAGGGGCUCAACCUCUAAGCUGCAUCUGAAACUGCGUAGCUAGAGUGCAGGAGAGGAAAGCGGAAUUCCGAGUGUAGCGGUGAAAUGCGUAGAGAUUCGGAGGAACACCAGUAGCGAAGGCGGCUUUCUGGACUGUAACUGACACUGAGGCACGAAAGCGUGGGGAGCAAACA
RNAcentral lists this ribosomal RNA (207 nucleotides) under uncultured bacterium. RNAcentral's name for it is "partial 16S ribosomal RNA". It matches the Rfam family "Bacterial small subunit ribosomal RNA", at positions 568 to 774 of the family's 1533-position model. The record is from RNAcentral.